RNAcentral lists this ribosomal RNA (440 nucleotides) under uncultured bacterium. RNAcentral's name for it is "partial 16S ribosomal RNA". It matches the Rfam family "Bacterial small subunit ribosomal RNA", at positions 338 to 795 of the family's 1533-position model. The record is from RNAcentral.
CCUACGGGUGGCAGCAGUGGGGAAUAUUGCACAAUGGGGGAAACCCUGAUGCAGCGACGCCGCGUGAGUGAAGAAGUAAUUCGUUAUGUAAAGCUCUAUCAGCAGGGAAGAAAAUGACGGUACCUGAGUAAGAAGCCCCGGCUAACUACGUGCCAGCAGCCGCGGUAAUAAGUAGGGGGCAAGCGUUAUCCGGAUUUACUGGGUGUAAAGGGAGCGUAGACGGCAGUGCAAGUCUGGAGUGAAAGGCGGGGGCUCAACCACCGGACUGCUCUGGAAACUGUACGGCUGGAGUGCAGGAGAGGUAAGUGGAAUUCCUAGUGUAGCGGUGAAAUGCGUAGAUAUUAGGAGGAACACCAGUGGCGAAGGCGGCUUACUGGACUGUAACUGACGUUGAGGCUCGAAAGCGUGGGGAGCAAACAGGAUUAGAUACCCCUGUAGUC